GACGAACGCUGGCGGCGUGCUUAACACAUGCAAGUCGAACGGAAAGGCCCCUUUGGGGGUACUCGAGUGGCGAACGGGUGAGUAACACGUGAGUAACCUGCCCUUGACUUCGGGAUAACUUCAGGAAACUGGGGCUAAUACCGGAUAGGAAUCCUUGCUGCAUGGUGGGGGUUGGAAAGCUUCGGCGGUUUUGGAUGGACUCGCGGCUUAUCAGCUUGUUGGUGGGGUAGUGGCUUACCAAGGCUUUGACGGGUAGCCGGCCUGAGAGGGCGACCGGCCACAUUGGGACUGAGAUACGGCCCAGACUCCUACGGGAGGCAGCAGUGGGGAAUAUUGCACAAUGGACGGAAGCCUGAUGCAGCAACGCCGCGUGCGGGAUGACGGCCUUCGGGUUGUAAACCGCUUUCAGCAGGGGCGAAGCUUGUGGUGACGGUACCUGCAGAAGAAGCACCGGCUAACUACGUG
RNAcentral lists this ribosomal RNA (465 nucleotides) under uncultured bacterium. Its description in RNAcentral is "partial 16S ribosomal RNA". It matches the Rfam family "Bacterial small subunit ribosomal RNA", at positions 28 to 507 of the family's 1533-position model. The record is from RNAcentral.